GCCCAGACUCCUACGGGAGGCAGCAGUGAGGAAUAUUGGUCAAUGGGCGGGAGCCUGAACCAGCCAAGUCGCGUGAGGGAAGACGGUCCUACGGAUUGUAAACCUCUUUUGCCGGGGAGCAACGGGGUCCUUGCGAGGGCCCGAUGAGAGUACCCGGAGAAAAAGCAUCGGCUAACUCCGUGCCAGCAGCCGCGGUAAUACGGAGGAUGCGAGCGUUAUCCGGAUUUAUUGGGUUUAAAGGGUGCGUAGGCGGGCUGUUAAGUCAGCGGUCAAAUUGCGGGGCUCAACCCCGUACUGCCGUUGAAACUGCAUCCCUUGAGUGCGCGAGAAGUAUGCGGAAUGCGUGGUGUAGCGGUGAAAUGCAUAGAUAUCGCGCAGAACCCCGAUUGCGAAGGCAGCAUGCCGGCUCCACACUGACGCUGAGGCACGAAAGCGUGGGUAUCGAACAGGAUUAGAUACCCCAGUACAC
Molecule: ribosomal RNA, 469 nt
Filed under: uncultured bacterium
Lineage: Bacteria
Description: bacterial SSU rRNA
Rfam family: Bacterial small subunit ribosomal RNA
Source: RNAcentral